ACUUAAAUUGAAGAGUUUGAUCAUGGCUCAGAUUGAACGCUGGCGGCAGGCCUAACACAUGCAAGUCGAGCGGCAGCGGGAAAGUAGCUUGCUACUUUUGCCGGCGAGCGGCGGACGGGUGAGUAAUGCCUGGGGAUCUGCC
RNAcentral lists this ribosomal RNA (142 nucleotides) under Aeromonas veronii. RNAcentral describes it as "partial 16S ribosomal RNA". It matches the Rfam family "Bacterial small subunit ribosomal RNA", at positions 1 to 130 of the family's 1533-position model. The record is from RNAcentral. Lineage: Bacteria; Pseudomonadati; Pseudomonadota; Gammaproteobacteria; Aeromonadales; Aeromonadaceae.